Molecule: ribosomal RNA, 387 nt
Filed under: uncultured bacterium
Lineage: Bacteria
Description: bacterial SSU rRNA
Rfam family: Bacterial small subunit ribosomal RNA
Source: RNAcentral
AACGAACGUUGGCGGUGUGCCUAAUACAUGCAAGUCGAGCGAGAAAACGGGGGCAACUCCGUGAGUACAGCGGCGGAAGGGUGCGUAAUACAUGGUUAACGUACCCCCCAGUUCGGGAUAACCCUCCGAAAGGUGGGCUAAUACCGGGUAAUGGCAGCGGGUGGCAUCAUUUGCUGCUUAAAGACGCAAGUCGCUGGGGGAGCGGACCAUGGCCUAUCAGCUAGUUGGCGGGGUAACGGCCCACCAAGGCAAUGACGGGUAGCCGGACUGAGAGGUUGAACGGCCACACGGGAACUGAGACACGGUCCCGACAUCUACGGAUGGCAGCAGUAGGGAAUCUUGCGCAAUGGGCGAAAGCCUGACGCAGCGACACCGCGUGGGGAUGAA